GACGAACCGUGCAAACGUUGUUCGGAAUCCCUGGGCUUAAAGGGCGCGUAGGCGGUCGACCAAGUCCGGGGUGAAAUCUUUCGGCUUAACCGGAAAAGUGCCUUGGAUACUGGUCGGCUGGAGGGAGGUAGGGGCAGGUGGAACUUCCAGUGGAGCGGUGAAAUGCGUUGAUAUUGGAAGGAACGCCGGUGGCGAAAGCGACCUGCUGGGCCUUUUCUGACGCUGAGGCGCGAAAGCUAGGGGAGCAAACGGG
RNAcentral lists this ribosomal RNA (253 nucleotides) under uncultured bacterium. Its description in RNAcentral is "partial 16S ribosomal RNA". It matches the Rfam family "Bacterial small subunit ribosomal RNA", at positions 524 to 776 of the family's 1533-position model. The record is from RNAcentral.